CUAACCCGAAAACGUAAAACACAAUGUGUAUUUAAGAAACUUAAAAAGCAGGUAUUUAGAAAAAAUAAAUAAACCACUGAAAAAUCAAUAGGAAAAUUCUGUCAUAAUAAUAGAAUAGUUUUUUUUUUACAGAAUUGUCUUUGCUAAUACACUGCUUAAAAGUAUAAUUGUUCAGAAUUUGUAGUUUUACUAGUUUUCUAGCUAAUAAUAAAAAAAACUUAAAUUGUAAUUCUUCAAAAAUGUGUAAGAGUUCAAUAAUCCAAUGUUGUAUUUAGAUACAGUUAUUCAUAUUUGAAUAUUAGGCCUAUUAUGCAUUAUUUUAUGAACAAAUCAAAAUAAGCAUAUAUAACAAAAUUAGCAUCUUAUAAAAUGUUUUAUUAAAAAACGUUUUGCUGAGACUUGAUGCAGUGGCAAUUUUGUGUUGUGAUGACGUCAUCGCGCAAUGACAUCACAACAUCAUUUAGCAGCAAAUCGACCUUCCUUUAUACAAUGUUGCCAACUCAUUCUCAUGGGAAAUUGCUAAAGUUGGGACAACUCUUGGGGUGAUUUUGUUGUCCUGACAAGGGUUUUUAUGUAGGCCUAGUUUCAAGAAAAUAGCUUUUUUUAGUAUUUGAUACUCAAAACGUUCCGUUAACUGGAAAAUAUAUAGUUGCAUUUUGUUAUACUGUGGUUCUCCAUCUAAACAUACAUGUAAAGUCAAAUCUUCUGAGAAUCAGUUACAUCCCUCUCAAUUUUCAAAUGUAAUACAAUUGUAUAAUUUAAUCUCUUAUUCCUGAUAAUUACUCAAAUUCUAAGGGGACCAUAGUUUUUUUUUUUUUUUUUUUUUAUGUAGCUGCCUUCAUCUUUUUGCUCCUAAUAAGCCAAGUCUGUACGCUUUAAGAGUGGAAGAAUCCCAUUUCCAGCGUUUGGCCCCAUUUACUGCUGGCUGCACCUUUCUAGAAGGGAGGAGGAGGGUCUCCAGCCGUCAUCGAGACUGAGCAUCCUGCGCAUCUUUUGGACCCGCUGCUCUGCGAGCAUCAUGCUGGAUGUGUUGCUGUUGAUGUUCUUCGCCAUCAUCGGCCUUGUGUUCCUGUCUUACAUCAUCUACGUCCUCUGAUCCCGGGCCGGUAGCACCGAUGCGCCGCCGUGAGAGCGCGCGCGUGACUCACGGGAGAGAUCUGAGCUCGCAGGAAGAAGCUCUGUUAAUGGGAUCAUCGUGAUGUGAAUUCACUGGAGGAUACACUUACAAGAUGAGACCUCACCCAUAUUUCUGUGUCACACAAACACUGUUCAUAGCAGCUGACACAAAACCUACACCACACUGUUGUUUCAAUCCUUUCAUUUAGCACACGCUGUUCAGAUGUGUUUUUCCCAAAGCAGGCUGAAACAGGAGCACUAAACCCCAAGAUCUAUGGAUGUCUUGCUAUUAUUUUUCUUUUUCUGUUCCUCUGUGUAGUAUUUCUGCAAAUAACGGUUUACAAAUUCCCAGUGCAAUGUACACUACCAUCAAACUCAUGUAUUUUGUCAAAGGAUGUUCAUGAAUGACUGAUUUUCAAAAUAAAGAGCCUUUGUGAGGAUGAAA
This is a long non-coding RNA of Carassius gibelio (silver crucian carp), 1561 nucleotides long. RefSeq lists it as uncharacterized. The transcript has 2 exons. The record is from RefSeq and is a predicted model, not a curated record. NCBI's taxonomy places the organism in Eukaryota, Metazoa, Chordata, Actinopteri, Cypriniformes, Cyprinidae.